UCCAUCGCACUGUGUCACUGGGUACCCGUCUAAAUAAAGUGCUUCUUUUUCUUUUAAAGAUUUUUUGCCCCAUUUUUUUUCUUUUUUCUUUUUAUGGGUACCGGGAAUCGAACUCACGACCGCCUGCUUGCAAGGCAGGCACUUAUGCCGCUGAGCUAAAUCCCCAGCCCCUCUUGCCCCAUUUUUUGAACAGCAUUUUCGGAUCUUGUUUUUGGGGUACAACAUUUGGGCACUUGUCCAGGAUAUCUCGAGGACCCCUCCCCAAAUUAUUUUUCACUGAUCGGCUUAACAUCUGGUUUGGAUUGGCCUCAUUCAUAACACCCCCCUCUUGGUGCCAUUAAAACCAAAACCAGCUCUGAGCCAGGUCCUGCCUGCCAAGGAAAAAACCAUGCCCCAAAGAGACUGGAGAGAAGAGAGGGAAAAAAGGGGAUCGAACUCACGACUGCCUGCUUGCAAGGAAGGCGCUUAUGCCACUGAGCUAAAUCCCCAGUCCAGUAAUUAUGAUUUUAUUUUAUUUUAUUUUAUUUAUUUUUUUUUGUCUUUUUCAUUUUUAUCGGUACCAGGGAUCGAACUCGUGACUGCCUGCUUGCAAGGCAGGUGCUUAUGCCGCUGAGCUAAAUCCCCAGCCCAAUAAUUCUGAUUUUAAAGCUGAACAAACAAGUUCCAAUUUGGAAACUGAACAAAUAGACUCAGACCCCAAAUUUAAAAAAGAUGAUUAAAAUGAGAUAUUAAAAAGGCAAAGGACUAGGAAAAAACCCUUUGCCCCCCUUCUAUUGACCCCAUGCUCUGACGCCCUUGGCUCUGGGACUGGAGCUCUCCUCUCAUCCUAUCCCUCUGCACCAUUGUUUACCUGUUCUCUGCCUCUGACCUCUACAAUUGGAAACAGCAGAACCCAUCCUUUUCUAAGGAUCCCCAAGGCCUCAUUUCCCUUCUGGAAUCUACGUUUUUCACUCAUUGUCCCACUUGGGAUGACUGUCAGCAACUGCUCCAGGUACUAUUUACUGCAGAGGAGAGAGAGUGCACACUGGGACAGUACAUGAUCCAGAUGGAAACCCGUCCUCUGAUCCCAAAUGCCAGAACCAUGUCUUCCCUUUGUCCUGCCCCAAUUGGAACCCUAAUAUGACUGGAGGUAAGGAGGCUCUCGAUCAGUAUUGCCAGUUGUUCUUGGAAGCCCUUAAUGGCGCUGCCAGAAAAGCCACCAAUUUGUCCAAGGUAUCAGAGGUAAGGCAAUCGGCUAACGAGUCUCCCUCAGGGUUUCUGGAAAGAUUGAAAGAGGCCUAUCCCAUUUAUACACCCACAGAUCCUGAAAAUGCAAGGGCCAUUAAUAUUGCCUUUGUAACCCAGUUGAGCCCUGAUAUUUAAGCGAAAAAUGCAAAAGCUUGAGGGAUUUGAGGAAAUACCCCUUAGUCAGUUAUUAGAGAUUGCUCAAAAUAUAUUUGAUAACCGGGAGGACCCAAAAGACCCGAAGUGGACAAAGGUGCUGGGGAUGCUAGCCAACAAAGUCACCUAGCCCGAUGUGAAGUCUCCUCCACCCCUAGAUAAAAAUCAAUGUGCUUAUUGCAAAGAGAAGGGGCAUUGGUGAAAUGUCCCAAGAUCUUCUGUGGGCCCUGGAUGAUCUGGGCUAUAAGGUCUCUGCUAAAGAGGCCCAACUAUGCCAAAAGCAUGUGACCUACUUAGGUUACCAAAUCCAUGAAGGAAAAUGGACUCUCGCCUCCUAGCAGGUACAAUCCAUCCAACAGAUUCCGGUCCCCGUGACUAAAAAGUAAAUGCAAGAAUUUUUAGGAGCCAUAGGAUAUUGCUGGCUUUGGAUAACGUGGCAGUCGGAUGGCCACUUUGUCUGCGGGUGAUUUCCUCAGUGGCCCUCCUGGUAAAGGAGGCUCAAAAAUUGACUUUUGGACAAAAGCUCUUAAUUGUCUCCUCUUAUUCACUGGAGACCCUCAUCAAGGCUCCACCAAACAGGUGGGUGUCCACUCCCGAGUCAUGCACUAUCAGGCACUACUUCUGGAUCCGACUACUAUCAGUUUCAAGGAGACAGCAGCUUUAAAUUCUGCUACUUAGCUAUCUGAUGAUAACCCCUCCUUGCCCCUCCACAACUGUAUUGAUCACCUCAUGGGGCUCCGACCAGACCUGACAGAUGAGCCCCUAUCCGGAGUUCCAUCAUACUUCUCUGAUGGGAGCAGUUACAUCUAUCAAGCCCAUUCUGAGGAUGAACACACUGCUGUGGAACCUGGAACACUAGUCCUCCUCAGAAGACAUCACUGAGAAUCUCUCGAACCAUGGUGGGAGGGCCCCUACACCAUGGUCCUCAGCACUCCAACCACUGUCAAAGUCACCGAGAAACCUGCCUGGAUCCAUCAUUCUGACUUCAAGUCUGUCCUGGCCUCCAAUGGCGAUCGAUCUGCAGAUAAGUGGACUGUUAUCCCCUUCAAGGACCCCUUAAAGCUUAAGAUUGCCAAAUGUACCUAAUAGUCUUAUUUCUAUGGGUUUCUUAUGGAGACUUCAGGGGCACAUCUCAUAAUCCUCAAUUUGGAACUUGGAAAAUAACUGAUUAUAAUACUGGUGAGAUGUUGGCAACCAACACCACUGUCCAUGGUAUAAUUAAACUAGAUUUGUUUGCUCUAUUAAAUAAGAUCCCAGUAAAAAUUAGACAAAAGAUGAUAAAAAUAGGACAGUAUGCCAUGCAGCACAUCUGGCAGAUUAAAGGAAGGCAAACUGGGCCUUGCAAAGACCUGAAUAGUCAAAAGAAAUUACACUCCAUUGGCUGGUACCUCUGCCCCCAGAUACAGCAACCAGCUACUGACCUUGCCCAUAUUGGAGCAUCUAGAGAUUAUCAUACCUGGAAGUGUUCACAGUCCUUAGAGACAAAAUACUUUUGUAGAUAUUGGAGUGGUGGGAUCAAUGGGUUUAGGAGUGUGCAGUCUAGUAAUCGGAGAUCAGAAUUACAGGCACUUAAGUGCUCUUAUCAAUCAGGAUCUAGCCACACUCAAUGAAUCUGUCUCCAAGCUGGGAGAGUCCUUGAGUUCCCUGGCUGAGAUGGUUUUACAAAACUGAUGGGGACUAGAUCUCCUAUUCCUAAAAGAAGGUCUCUGCUUGGCUUUAGGGGAAAACCGCUGUCUGUACGCCAAUCAUUCUGGAGGCAUCAGGCAGAACAUGGCUAACCUUAAAAAGUGAUUGCAAGAACAAGAACAAGCCAGGCAGGCUGAACAGAGCUGGUCUGAACGUUGACUCUCCUUCUCUCCUUGGUUAACAACUGUAUUAAUGGCAACCAUAAGACCUUUGUUAAUCCUCCUCGUCUGUGUAACUAUCGGGCCUUGUAUUAUAAACAAAUUAAUAAGUUAUGUUAAAGACUGAGUUUAGGCCGUUAACUUAAUGAUCCUAAGAACACAAGGCUAUGAACAGACAGCUCUAAUGGAAGCUCCUUCCAUGAGUCAAUGAUUUGACUCACGGGACAAAAAUCAGUGGGGAAUGUUGUGCUCUAACAAAAGUGGGGCCAUUCUGUUCUGUAUGUGUCCUUACCCUGGUAACUCUGUACUCUGUGUCAACCUUUGUCCCCCUUUGUGAAGGACAGUUGUUCCUGGAAUUAGCUGACCACAAGUAGCCAAGUUCCUGUAAAGGAGGAACUAGCUGACCACCAGCUGCAAAACUUUGCAUAAAGGCAACUGAUUAAACAAGGAACUCUGCCCCCAAAUAAGAGAACAAAAGCCUUUCUCACCCUUAUCCUCUCCCCUCCCACCCCUGCUUUGCAGUUUUUUCCUUUAUAAGCCUCCCAAAUAUCUAACCUAGUUGCACAGCUUUGCAAACUCCAUCGCACUGUGUUGCUGGGUACCAGUCUAAAUAAAGUGCUUCUUUUUUUUAAAAAGAUGUCUUGCCCUGGUUUUUGAGCAGCAUUUUGCAGUCUCAUUUUUGGGGUACAACAAAUAGGACAUUAGAAAACGGAGAGACAUCCCACACUCUUGGUUAGGAAGUACCUAAUAACGCAGCUUGGGCUGGAACCAUAACUAAGGCCCCAUCAUCCUGUGUAAGGGGAUUAACUCACUUCAGAGACAACUCUCACCACACACACACACACUCCUGUCCUGUCAAAGAAAAAUCUAUGACUGCGAAAAUGUGGACAAAGUUAUGGAAGACAGUCCCAGCAAGACCUAGAACAGUUUGAAAAUUGACAGAUAAAAACAGGACCAAUUAUAACUUUUCUUUAAAAAAGAGAAGAGAGACUUUGUAAGAAACAAAAAAGUGAUCUAUUUUCAGGACAAGGACUUUUAGCUUGAGAAUGUGACUGAGGUCAGGUCAUGCAUUGGAGAGGGUGUUUAAGCACCAGGGGGAGGCUACAUGGUCAAUUAAGUAUGGAAGUUACCAUGCUAAUGUUGUACCCCAAAAACGAGACUCCGAGAUGUUGUCCAAAAAUGGGGCAAGACGUCUUUAAAGGAAAAAGAAGCGCUUUAUUUAGGCUGGUACCCAGGGACACAGUGUGAUGGAGUUUGCAACUAGGGUUAGAUUGUUGGGAGGCUUAUAAAGGAAAAAACCACAAAGCAGUGGUGGGAGGGGAUAAGGGUGGAGAGGCUUUUGUUCUUUUCUUUGGCUUCAGGGCAGAGUUCCUUGCUUAAUCAGUUGCCUUUACUGGAAGUUUUGCAGCUGCCGGUUAGCGAGUUCCUCCUUUACAGAAAGUUGACAAUUUGUGGUCAGCUAAUUCCAGGAACAACCGUCCUUCACAAAGGGGGACAAAGGUUGAGACAGAGUACAGGGUUACCAGGGUAACGACACAUACAGAACAGAAUGGUGAUGCUUUUGUUGUUGCACAACAGCUAACUCUGGAAAAUUGCUGACAGUUAAGAAGUUAUUCCAAACACUCAGGAGGCUGAGGCGGGAGGAUUUCUAUGAGUUUGAGGUGAGCUUGGGUUAUAGGCUGAGCUGAAGUCCAGGCUGAACUGCAGUGAAACCUUGUCUCAAAAAGACCAAAUAAAUAAAUAAAAAUAACAACAACAAAAUAUAACCCAGUAAUGAGGAGAGGGCGAGGGAACCCCGCUGGGCUCACAUGGCCCUUUAUGAUCAUUCUGGGGGUGUCAGCUUUUUUGGUGAGGCAGGCACCUCAUUCUUGCAAAACAGGGAAAUCAGGCUUUGCUUUUGCUGCUCUUCUUCCCUCUGAAUCUGUUCUUUGGGCCUGAACAACUGAAAUGCAUUUCACACACUAUGUUCAACCAAUCCUCAGUUAUUGGACAAGGAGAUUACUUCUAAGUUAUGAGUGUAGCUCAGUGGGGAGUGUUUGUCUAGCGUGCAUGAAGCCCUGCAGUUUAACAGAAUUGAGAAAAAUAAAAAGAGGAAGUUGUCAUUUAAGCAAUAGCAAAUAAUAACCUGGCAUGGAAUGCGGAAGUAAUGUCUCAGUGAGUGAUCUCUGAGAUAAAUUCCUGGAAGUUAAAUUCCUAAAGGGAGGGCAGGAGCCACUGUGUCUCUGCUGUUUCCUGAGGCCACUCCAAGGGGCACCCCUCAGGGAUCUCUCUUUAUCACCUCUGCUGCUCCUUGCUAACCUCAGAGAUCCCAAGGGAGCUUGUUUCAAUUUGCAUUUGUAUUACUUUAAGUGAGGUUGACGGCUCAUCUGGGUGUAAAAGGCAGGUCUCUAGGAUAGUGUGGUGGGGUAUACCAGUAAUCCCAGUACCCUGGGAAGCUGAGGCAGGAGCAUUGCAAGUUCAAGGCUAGCCUACAAAUUUAAUGAUUUAGCAAGACUCUAAUUUCAAAAUUAAAAAAAAAGAAAAAAAGAAGGAAGGAAGUGAGCUUAUGAUGUAGCUCAGUGUGAAGGCUUUGGGUUUAAUCCCCAGCCUUGCAAAAAAAAAAAAAAAAAAACCAAAAGCAAUACAACCAAAAA
Cavia porcellus (domestic guinea pig) is the source of this 5857-nucleotide long non-coding RNA. RefSeq lists it as uncharacterized. The record is from RefSeq and is a predicted model, not a curated record. NCBI's taxonomy places the organism in Eukaryota, Metazoa, Chordata, Mammalia, Rodentia, Caviidae. The transcript has 4 exons.